Molecule: long non-coding RNA, 1699 nt
Organism: Sciurus carolinensis (gray squirrel)
Lineage: Eukaryota; Metazoa; Chordata; Mammalia; Rodentia; Sciuridae
Exons: 4
Source: RefSeq, a predicted model, not a curated record
GCGGAGGACACGUGGUGGGCGGAGGGAGGGCCCGGCCGCAGCGGAGCGUGUUGGGAGGCGAGGGGAGGAGCGGCGGAUGUCAGCAGGCCUGGCGGCGCCGGGACGCGCCGCGCCCACCUCCUCGCGCCGCUUCCGGCCGCCGCGCCCGCCCGGCCUGCGGCCCGCGGGGCCCCGAGCGCCCGGCCGGCCGGGCCCCGCCGAGCGCGCCCUGCGCCCCCGGGGCGCGCACUUGCUCGGGGCCGCCCGCCGCGCCCGGCUGCGCGAGAGCGCUCUGGAGGCCCGGCUGCGCGGAGGCGCGUCCCGCCGGCGGACCGGUGCCGCGGCCCCUCGGAGCGCGCGGGUCGUCGGGUGCCCGCCGGAUCCGGCGCGGAGCCCGGGGACCGCCCCUGAGCGAGCAGGGCUCUCCCUCCAGGUCGGAGGAGGCGUUGCUGGCGGCUCCGUGGCCCACGGACCGAGCGUCCAGGAAGCCCUUCCUCCUGAGAGAGUCUGGGCUGGGAUUCUCGUUGGCACCUUAAGAAAUGAUGACUUUGACACUUAGUAAAACAGACCAUCUGUGUCCACGUGAGCCUAAUGAUAGAUCAUCUGCAUGAUGAUGACCACAGAAGCAGAGAGAAAAAGGACCGCGCAGACCCUUGCCACCCACAGCCACCUAGAGGAAGAGGAGCCAGAGGGUUGCAGCACACGCGUCCUCAGGGGCUUGAGGAUCCGGUCUCUCUGGAGUUCCUCAAACUCUAUUGUGACCUGCCUUAAAAGUCUGUCUGAACAGAUCCGUACCUUGAGUUCAUAUCUUAAAAACAAUUCUUCUAAGUCCUCAGAGCCAUUGGAAAGUCUCACUUUGUAUAUGUAUCCACAAAUAUACAGUGAUGGAAAAUCCCCCGGACAACCGUAGCUGCUGCAUUUUAUAAGAAAACAGGAGGUUCUCCCUUGCUGGUUUUUUUCCUGGCCAAUUGUUUCCUUGAUGCUCACCCUUAAUUAACUUUCUGCUGGAAAGAACUAAAUGAAUGGAUAUCCAGUACUCAAAUGCAACCUGAUUACGAUUUACAUGUUUUCUAUUUUUAUACUUUGGUUACUUUCAUUUUCAUAGAAUUCUUUUAGAAAAUAAAAAUAAAAAUUACAGAGUCCAAAAGUCAUCGAUUUCUAAUGGUGAAAUUUCAGGUGCUUUGAUAAAAGACAUUGAACAGAAGCGCUCUGGGUGCCUUGCCACUCAUGCAUGAUCAGGAGCCCAGCCUGUUCGUGUGGAAGAGCAGUGCAUACCUUGGAAUACACGCACAACCCAUCGGCUCUGGAGUUCGGACGUGGGAAUGAGGGCUCCCACUGGCUGGAGGAUGCCAAUGAAAGCCAGCGUUGGCUUCUCCAGCUGAGGAGGGAAGACGAACUUAUACAUGGAGUGCUGGCUGUCCAGGAUUGCCAAGUCGUCCUCCAAGAAAGGGAAGGAGAAGGUGUAUCCUGUGGCAAAGAGGACGACGUCCACGUUCUCUUCAGUGCCAUCCUCAAAGAUGGCGGAUGUCUUGGUGAACUCCUUCACAUUUGGUUUCAUCAGCACUCUUCCUGUGAUUAUGCGAUUUGGCAGGUCAUCACUGAAAGUAGACUGAUGGCUGAGAAAUCUGCAUUACAGGGAGUGUAAUAUGAAAAAAAAAAGUGUGUAUGAAUUUUCUUUGUAAAGAAAUUGUGGUAAAUAAAUGCUCUUGAUUGCACAACA